RNAcentral lists this ribosomal RNA (632 nucleotides) under uncultured bacterium. Its description in RNAcentral is "bacterial SSU rRNA". It matches the Rfam family "Bacterial small subunit ribosomal RNA", at positions 40 to 658 of the family's 1533-position model. The record is from RNAcentral.
GGGCGGGCGCUUACACAUGCAAGUCGAGCGAGAACCAGUCCUUCGGGACUGGGGACAGCGGCGAACGGGUGAGUAACACGUGGGUAAUCUGCCCUCGAUUCUGGGAUAGCCCGGGGAAACCCGGAUUAAUACCGGAUAGCCUCUCGAGCUUUCGAGCUCUUGAGAAAAGGUAGCUUCGGCCUCCGAUCGAGGAUGAGCCCGCGGCGGAUUAGCUUGUUGGUGGGGUAAUGGCCUACCAAGGCUACGAUCCGUAGCUGGUCUGAGAGGACGAUCAGCCACACUGGGACUGAGACACGGCCCAGACUCCUACGGGAGGCAGCAGUGGGGAAUCUUGCGCAAUGGGCGAAAGCCUGACGCAGCGACGCCGCGUGGGGGAAGAAGGCCUUCGGGUUGUAAACCUCUUUCAGCAGGGACGAAGCCACUCGGGUUAAUAGCCCAGAGGGUGACGGUACCUGCAGAAGAAGCCCCGGCUAACUACGUGCCAGCAGCCGCGGUAAUACGUAGGGGGCAAGCGUUGUCCGGAUUUAUUGGGCGUAAAGAGCGUGUAGGCGGCCGCACAGGUCCGUUGUGAAAACUGGAGGCUUAACCUUCAGACGUCGAUGGAAACCGUGCGGCUAGAGUCCGGAAGAGGA